GAAAUAGAACAAGCUCGUAUAAUUUUGGGGAUAUGGCCCAUAAGUCUCUACCGGAUGACCGUAAAUCAUCUGACUACGAGUGGAAGU
Molecule: non-coding RNA, 87 nt
Filed under: Brevibacillus massiliensis
Lineage: Bacteria; Bacillati; Bacillota; Bacilli; Caryophanales; Paenibacillaceae
Description: Purine riboswitch
Rfam family: Purine riboswitch aptamer
About the family: Riboswitches are metabolite binding domains within certain messenger RNAs that serve as precision sensors for their corresponding targets.
Source: RNAcentral